RNAcentral lists this long non-coding RNA (1134 nucleotides) under Equus caballus (horse). Its description in RNAcentral is "lncRNA (ENSECAG00000043990.1)". Lineage: Eukaryota; Metazoa; Chordata; Mammalia; Perissodactyla; Equidae. The record is from RNAcentral.
AGACCACCGAUAAGCUCCUAAUUGCGGAAUCCAGUAGAUACUCCUCAGUCCUAUUCUUACUAAACUCUUGUGAGAGAGAAACAUUGAAACCUGCCAUUUUCCCAUCCUUCUUGCCAAAGGAACUUCUUUUAUUUGCCCAGCCCCCAAAGAUGAGUUAUGAUUGAUGUAAGGCAGUUAUGGCAACGCUUUCACACUGCCAAUGAUUCAUCCAGGAGUAGGAAUGAGUCUUGAUCAAUGAGACAUAGGGGAAGUCUGAUGGGUCCCCCGGGAAAGAUUUUCCUUCUUGAAAGAGAAUGAGCCACACAAAGAGAAAGACUUAUUGUCUCCAUUACCCUUGUUUUAUGCUUGGGAUGCUCUCAGUUGCUUGAAGGGUCCAGCCUAUGACCCUGAGACGGACAUUUUGACAUAAUGAAGGUGGCAGAGCAGAAGGAUGGAAAGUGCUUGGGUCCUCCAUGACAUUUCUGGGUCACGAAACUCACCUGGGGACCACCUACCUUCUUGGGUCCAGUGGGGAGACUCCUUCCUGAUCCGGGUGAAUUAUACUUCAUGGACAGCAAUUAAUCCACAAUAACAUCCCUGUCUUGUCUCUUGGGUGGGACUUGUCAUUGACCCAAUACUCUGAACCAGACAUAUUCAACUGAAAGACUAAAAACCAAACCACAAGUAAAGCAAAACUGUAAAAGCCACAAAGAGCCUCGGCCAAGUAUGUGGAAGACUGCAUAGUGCUAGCUAGCCUGUCCAGAUAUCUGGGAAUGGAUUAAACGGCUUUCCGAGGCUCCUUUUAGGAUCAAGAUGCCAUUGGAAGCUUUAGUAAUUGACACAUUUAAAGGGAGAAAAAGCUGAGUUUACUUACUUAUUUUUAAAUAGUAUAUGUCUUUGUAUUUAGCUCCUAGCAUAGCCAAGCUCUCGGAUUUUUCUUUGCUCCAACAGAAAGUAAUCAAUGAAGUAUCAGUAGCAACAAGAUCUUGAGAUAAACUCUUGUCCCUGAACCUAGAUGCCACAGAUCUUGCCAACAGGAUCUGGAAAGCGCUUGGAGAACAUCCAUGCAGCAAGGAGCACAGAUGUUCUGCUGCCUGACCACAUGCGGAGUGUGGUGGGAACAAUCAGUUCAUGGAUCCAGAUGCCUAUCUGUCC